GAUGAACGCUGGCGGCGUGCCUAAUACAUGCAAGUCGAGCGAACGGACGAGAAGCUUGCUUCUCUGAUGUUAGCGGCGGACGGGUGAGUAACACGUGGAUAACCUACCUAUAAGACUGGGAUAACUUCGGGAAACCGGAGCUAAUACCGGAUAAUAUUUUGAACCGCAUGGUUCAAAAGUGAAAGACGGUCUUGCUGUCACUUAUAGAUGGAUCCGCGCUGCAUUAGCUAGUUGGUAAGGUAACGGCUUACCAAGGCAACGAUGCAUAGCCGACCUGGGAGGGUGAUCGGCCACACUGGAACUGAGACACGGUCCAGACUCCUACGGGAGGCAGCAGUAGGGAAUCUUCCGCAAUGGGCGAAAGCCUGACGGAGCAACGCCGCGUGAGUGAUGAAGGUCUUCGGAUCGUAAAACUCUGUUAUUAGGGAAGAACAUAUGUGUAAGUAACUGUGCACAUCUUGACGGUACCUAAUCAGAAAGCCACGGCUAACUACGUGCCAGCAGCCGCGGUAAUACGUAGGUGGCAAGCGUUAUCCGGAAUUAUUGGGCGUAGCGCGCGUAGCGGUUUUUUAAGUCUGAUGUGAAAGCCCACGGCUCAACCGUGGAGGGUCAUUGGAAACUGGAAAACUUGAGUGCAGAAGAGGAAAGUGGAAUUCCAUGUGUAGCGGUGAAAUGCGCAGAGAUAUGGAGGAACACCAGUGGCGAAGGCGACUUUCUGGUCUGCAACUGACGCUGAUGUGCGAAAGCGUGGGGAUCAAACAGGAUUAGAUACCCUGGUAGUCCACGCCGUAAACGAUGAGUGCUAAGUGUUAGGGGGUUUCCGCCCCUUAGUGCUGCAGCUAACGCAUUAAGCACUCCGCCUGGGGAGUACGACCGCAAGGUUGAAACUCAAAGGAAUUGACGGGGACCCGCACAAGCGGUGGAGCAUGUGGUUUAAUUCGAAGCAACGCGAAGAACCUUACCAAAUCUUGACAUCCUUUGACAACUCUAGAGAUAGAGCUUUCCCCUUCGGGGGACAAAGUGACAGGUGGUGCAUGGUUGUCGUCAGCUCGUGUCGUGAGAUGUUGGGUUAAGUCCCGCAACGAGCGCAACCCUUAAGCUUAGUUGCCAUCAUUAAGUUGGGCACUCUAAGUUGACUGCCGGUGACAAACCGGAGGAAGGUGGGGAUGACGUCAAAUCAUCAUGCCCCUUAUGAUUUGGGCUACACACGUGCUACAAUGGACAAUACAAAGGGCAGCGAAACCGUGAGGUCAAGCAAAUCCCAUAAAGUUGUUCUCAGUUCGGAUUGUAGUCUGCAACUCGACUACAUGAAGCUGGAAUCGCUAGUAAUCGUAGAUCAGCAUGCUACGGUGAAUACGUUCCCGGGUCU
Molecule: ribosomal RNA, 1369 nt
Filed under: uncultured bacterium
Lineage: Bacteria
Description: bacterial SSU rRNA
Rfam family: Bacterial small subunit ribosomal RNA
Source: RNAcentral